RNAcentral lists this ribosomal RNA (565 nucleotides) under uncultured ciliate. RNAcentral's name for it is "SSU rRNA". It matches the Rfam family "Eukaryotic small subunit ribosomal RNA", at positions 390 to 972 of the family's 1831-position model. The record is from RNAcentral. Lineage: Eukaryota; Ciliophora.
GGGAGCCUGAGAAUCGGCUACCACAUCUAAGGAAGGCAGCAGGCGCGUAAAUUACCCAAUCCUGACUCAGGGAGGUAGUGACAAGAAAUAACAAACCGGGGCACUUUGUGCUUACGGGAUUGCAAUGAGCACAAUUUAAAACACUUAGCGAGGAACGAUUGGAGGGCAAGUCUGGUGCCAGCAGCCGCGGUAAUUCCAGCUCCAAUAGCGUAUAUUAAAGUUGUUGCAGUUAAAAAGCUCGUAGUCGAAUUUCUGGGCGGUGGUAUCAUGGCUUCGGUUAUGAUACGCCUGUCCAUCCGUCAGGGAACUUCGUUCGUCCUUCACUGGACGGCGGAGGGAACUGACAUUUUACUUUGAAAAAAUUAGAGUGUUUCAGGCAGGCAAUCGCUGGAAUACAUUAGCAUGGAAUAAUGGAAUAGGACUUUAAUCCAUUUUAUUGGUUAUUGGGGUUGAGGUAAUGAUUAAUAGGGACAGUUGGGGGCAUUAGUAUUUAAUUGUCAGAGGUGAAAUUCUUGGAUUUAUUAAAGACUAACUAAUGCGAAAGCAUUUGCCAAGGAUGUUUUCA